This 712-nucleotide long non-coding RNA is filed under the name Homo sapiens (human). RNAcentral describes it as "HSALNT0396013". The record is from RNAcentral. Lineage: Eukaryota; Metazoa; Chordata; Mammalia; Primates; Hominidae.
GGGCACAGAGUUCUCUGCCAUGGCUGGGGACUAGGAAGUGGGAAAGAGCUCUAGGGGAACCUGAGGGCUUGGGUGGAAGACUGGAGAGCCAGGAGGAGCAAGGAGCAGGAAGCAAGUAAAGAAGCCGGCCCAAACCCAUCAAGACCAAGAUGAUGACAUGAGUGACCUCUGAUUGUCCUCACUGCUACACUCCCACCAGCCCCCUGACGGUUUACAGAUGCCAUGGCAACAUCAGGAAGUUACCCUCUAUGCUCUAAAAACGGGAGACACGUGAGUUGUUUCCAGUUUUGGUGACGAAUGCCCAAAUUCAUAGGCGAUGAUAAAUAAUGUGCCAGACGUUGAUGUGCAAGUUUUGGUGUGAGGUGUGGAUUCAUUCAUUCAACAAAUAUUUACGGAACGAACACCUCCUGCGUGCCAGGCUCCAUUCCAAGCACUGGGGGUUGCAGCGGCGAACAAAACAGACCCAAAUGCCUGCCCUGGUGGGCCAGGAAGGCAGAAAUAAAGAUGAAGAGUUGGUCAAGUCUGCAGCCUUCAGACCUGGCUUGGAAUCUGCAUCAUUGGCUCUCAGGCUCUCCAACCUUUGAACAAUACCAUGAAUCUUCCUGGGUCUUCAGCUUGCAGAAAGCAGAUCAUAGGAUGUCUCAGCCUCCAUAAUCAGAUGAGCCCUGUAAUUAUAUAAUCCUUAUAAUAAAUCUCACCCUGGAUCUCUCUA